CGGUAGUAUAGUGGUGAGUAUCCCCGCCUGUCACGCGGGAAACCGGGGUUCGAUUCAGUGGCGUAACGUACACCCCCGCAUCGCGG
Trichonephila clavipes is the source of this 86-nucleotide non-coding RNA. The record is from the annotation of a GenBank genome assembly. Lineage: Eukaryota; Metazoa; Arthropoda; Arachnida; Araneae; Nephilidae.